CGACCCCAGGUCAGACGGGACUA
Molecule: ribosomal RNA, 23 nt
Filed under: Glyceria maxima
Lineage: Eukaryota; Viridiplantae; Streptophyta; Magnoliopsida; Poales; Poaceae
Description: partial 26S ribosomal RNA
Source: RNAcentral